UUGAAUCCUUAGGAUGUUGCUGGCCUUUAGGGGCAUGUGCACUCCACCUUUCAAUCCACCUGUGAACUUAUUGUAGGCCAGAUGUUACAGUCUGCGUCUAUGUCUUUACACACCCUUUUAAAAAGUUUAUAGAAUGUCUAAUGGGAAGACCUUUGAUGGUCAUUAACUUAAUA
RNAcentral lists this unclassified non-coding RNA (173 nucleotides) under uncultured Clavariaceae. Its description in RNAcentral is "sequence contains ITS1". Lineage: Eukaryota; Fungi; Basidiomycota; Agaricomycetes; Agaricales; Clavariaceae. The record is from RNAcentral.